Molecule: ribosomal RNA, 263 nt
Filed under: uncultured archaeon
Lineage: Archaea
Description: partial 16S ribosomal RNA
Rfam family: Archaeal small subunit ribosomal RNA
Source: RNAcentral
CAGCCGUAAACUAUGCGCGUUAGGUGUAUCGGUGACCACGAGUUACCGAGGUGCCGAAGGGAAACCGUGAAACGUGCCGCCUGGGAAGUACGGUCGCAAGGCUGAAACUUAAAGGAAUUGGCGGGGGAGGCACAACAACGGGUGGAGCCUGCGGUUUAAUUUGGACUCAACGCCGGACAACUCACCGGGAACGACAGCAAUAUGUAGGCCAGGCUGAAGACCUUGCCUGAAUCGCUGAGAGGAGGUGCAUGGCGUAGACGUCU